UGGGUCUCCUUUCUCUAUAAGAACACCUCUAACGGCGCCUUGAAAAAUAUGCAUCCCCAUCAACUGAGAUGCAGAAAAUUCAAUCUCUAUUCUCAACAUCCUCCAAGGAGCAGAAGUUUCUGGUGAGGAAACCCUAGGAGGAAUUUUGCGGAUUAUGAAGAUUUGUUACCCAUCUCAUCUGUAGAAGAUGAUGACUAUUUAACAUGCACUACUAUCUGAUCUCUCUUAUUACAUUUGAACUUUUUCUCCGGACUAGAGUUAUUUUUGCUCUAUACAUCGUUAUUUUUGCAAUUUCUAAGUUUCAAUGAUAGGGAAGUGUAAUAUGAUUUAUCAGUUUUUAUAAAAAAAAAUCGCAUGCUGUCAUUUUGAUAUUUAGAUUAACAUUGGUUUUUCUUGAAAUAAUGGCUAGCGGUGAUGACACUAUUGUGGACUAGAGUUUCUGAUUGGGGCUCUUCACCCUAGUUUGACGACAAACCCUUGGCUGUCUGAGCGCUAUUAUUUUCAUGUAGUUUUUGUUUAAUUGUGAAAAAUUGCACCCAUUACCAAUUCGGGAAGAUUGACAUUGGUUCUUCUUGAGAUAAUGGCUUGGGUUGCGAUAUCUAAUCUGUGGCCAUUCUGAUUCAUGUGUUUUCAGUACCAUGUUAUCCGGGAAACUCCACAUACAUUUUAUAGACCAUUUUGAUUUGUAGAAUGUGGUUUUCUUUUGCAGCUCAACAGUUAACCAUUUUUCUUUGAAGAAACAUUUCCAAAAACCUUGGCAGUCAGCUUGUUAUGGGACGUAGUUUAGGCUUUAAAUUUUAUGCCUUCAUUGUACACGAUCAAAUGUAUCACAAUUUAAUGAAUUGAAAUCUUAACUAUAAAUAUUAAUCUUACGAGUUGUACAUUCUGUAA
Molecule: long non-coding RNA, 891 nt
Organism: Papaver somniferum (opium poppy)
Lineage: Eukaryota; Viridiplantae; Streptophyta; Magnoliopsida; Ranunculales; Papaveraceae
Exons: 2
Source: RefSeq, a predicted model, not a curated record